Molecule: ribosomal RNA, 1245 nt
Filed under: Enterococcus faecium
Lineage: Bacteria; Bacillati; Bacillota; Bacilli; Lactobacillales; Enterococcaceae
Description: bacterial SSU rRNA
Rfam family: Bacterial small subunit ribosomal RNA
Source: RNAcentral
GAGGGUGAUCGGCCACAUUGGGACUGAGACACGGCCCAAACUCCUACGGGAGGCAGCAGUAGGGAAUCUUCGGCAAUGGACGAAAGUCUGACCGAGCAACGCCGCGUGAGUGAAGAAGGUUUUCGGAUCGUAAAACUCUGUUGUUAGAGAAGAACAAGGAUGAGAGUAACUGUUCAUCCCUUGACGGUAUCUAACCAGAAAGCCACGGCUAACUACGUGCCAGCAGCCGCGGUAAUACGUAGGUGGCAAGCGUUGUCCGGAUUUAUUGGGCGUAAAGCGAGCGCAGGCGGUUUCUUAAGUCUGAUGUGAAAGCCCCCGGCUCAACCGGGGAGGGUCAUUGGAAACUGGGAGACUUGAGUGCAGAAGAGGAGAGUGGAAUUCCAUGUGUAGCGGUGAAAUGCGUAGAUAUAUGGAGGAACACCAGUGGCGAAGGCGGCUCUCUGGUCUGUAACUGACGCUGAGGCUCGAAAGCGUGGGGAGCAAACAGGAUUAGAUACCCUGGUAGUCCACGCCGUAAACGAUGAGUGCUAAGUGUUGGAGGGUUUCCGCCCUUCAGUGCUGCAGCUAACGCAUUAAGCACUCCGCCUGGGGAGUACGACCGCAAGGUUGAAACUCAAAGGAAUUGACGGGGGCCCGCACAAGCGGUGGAGCAUGUGGUUUAAUUCGAAGCAACGCGAAGAACCUUACCAGGUCUUGACAUCCUUUGACCACUCUAGAGAUAGAGCUUCCCCUUCGGGGGCAAAGUGACAGGUGGUGCAUGGUUGUCGUCAGCUCGUGUCGUGAGAUGUUGGGUUAAGUCCCGCAACGAGCGCAACCCUUAUUGUUAGUUGCCAUCAUUCAGUUGGGCACUCUAGCAAGACUGCCGGUGACAAACCGGAGGAAGGUGGGGAUGACGUCAAAUCAUCAUGCCCCUUAUGACCUGGGCUACACACGUGCUACAAUGGGAAGUACAACGAGUUGCGAAGUCGCGAGGCUAAGCUAAUCUCUUAAAGCUUCUCUCAGUUCGGAUUGCAGGCUGCAACUCGCCUGCAUGAAGCCGGAAUCGCUAGUAAUCGCGGAUCAGCACGCCGCGGUGAAUACGUUCCCGGGCCUUGUACACACCGCCCGUCACACCACGAGAGUUUGUAACACCCGAAGUCGGUGAGGUAACCUUUUUGGAGCCAGCCGCCUAAGGUGGGAUAGAUGAUUGGGGUGAAGUCGUAACAAGGUAGCCGUAUCGGAAGGUGCGGCUGGAUCACCUCCUUU